This is a long non-coding RNA of Micropterus dolomieu (smallmouth bass), 460 nucleotides long. RefSeq lists it as uncharacterized. The record is from RefSeq and is a predicted model, not a curated record. Lineage: Eukaryota; Metazoa; Chordata; Actinopteri; Centrarchiformes; Centrarchidae. The transcript has 2 exons.
CAGCGCCGUUGAAAAAGUGUAUUAGGAGUCGGCUGUUCACUUUCUCUGUGUCCCAGUAAUCCAUGACAGUGUGAUAGUGAGCCGGGAUUUGCAGUACCAGGACCCUGAAACUGAAGCAGCUAAAUGGAAUUCAGCCAUCAACUCGGGAAGUGGAUGUCAGGCCUGUGACCGUUUCUGCUGCAAAUGAGGCAAUUUGGAGGCAAGUUACAGAAAUAGCAUCAUCCAUUAAUUAAUUCCCAACCUGAAGCUCAUGUCUUUGGCUAGGUCUGAAUCAGCAAACUAAGCAACAUCCUUACAUAUGAGGUUGGAGGACGACCCCUCAUGACGUCCCCUCAGCUGCACUCUUCACACAAGCAGCAAAGGCCUCCAUCAGAUCUUUGCACCCCUCGCCUCCCUUCUCUGCCACACUGGAAGAAAGAUGACAAUUCGAUCACAAAUCAAGAUAACCCAGAUUUCAGCA